Molecule: ribosomal RNA, 1065 nt
Filed under: Halomonas sp.
Lineage: Bacteria; Pseudomonadati; Pseudomonadota; Gammaproteobacteria; Oceanospirillales; Halomonadaceae
Also listed under: 1 other name
Description: bacterial SSU rRNA
Rfam family: Bacterial small subunit ribosomal RNA
Source: RNAcentral
CGCAGCUACACAUGCAAGUCGAGCGGUAACAGGGGUAGCUUGCUACCCGCUGACGAGCGGCGGACGGGUGAGUAAUGCAUAGGAAUCUGCCCGAUAGUGGGGGAUAACCUGGGGAAACCCAGGCUAAUACCGCAUACGUCCUACGGGAGAAAGGGGGCUCCGGCUCCCGCUAUUGGAUGAGCCUAUGUCGGAUUAGCUAGUUGGUGAGGUAAUGGCUCACCAAGGCAACGAUCCGUAGCUGGUCUGAGAGGAUGAUCAGCCACAUCGGGACUGAGACACGGCCCGAACUCCUACGGGAGGCAGCAGUGGGGAAUAUUGGACAAUGGGCGAAAGCCUGAUCCAGCCAUGCCGCGUGUGUGAAGAAGGCCCUCGGGUUGUAAAGCACUUUCAGCGAGGAAGAACGCCUAGUGGUUAAUACCCAUUAGGAAAGACAUCACUCGCAGAAGAAGCACCGGCUAACUCCGUGCCAGCAGCCGCGGUAAUACGGAGGGUGCAAGCGUUAAUCGGAAUUACUGGGCGUAAAGCGCGCGUAGGUGGCUUGAUAAGCCGGUUGUGAAAGCCCCGGGCUCAACCUGGGAACGGCAUCCGGAACUGUCAAGCUAGAGUGCAGGAGAGGAAGGUAGAAUUCCCGGUGUAGCGGUGAAAUGCGUAGAGAUCGGGAGGAAUACCAGUGGCGAAGGCGGCCUUCUGGACUGACACUGACACUGAGGUGCGAAAGCGUGGGUAGCAAACAGGAUUAGAUACCCUGGUAGUCCACGCCGUAAACGAUGUCGACCAGCCGUUGGGUGCCUAGCGCACUUUGUGGCGAAGUUAACGCGAUAAGUCGACCGCCUGGGGAGUACGGCCGCAAGGUUAAAACUCAAAUGAAUUGACGGGGGCCCGCACAAGCGGUGGAGCAUGUGGUUUAAUUCGAUGCAACGCGAAGAACCUUACCUACUCUUGACAUCCUGCGAACUUGUGAGAGAUCACUUGGUGCCUUCGGGAACGCAGAGACAGGUGCUGCAUGGCUGUCGUCAGCUCGUGUUGUGAAAUGUUGGGUUAGUCCCGUACGAGCGCAACCCUUGU